Molecule: small nucleolar RNA, 211 nt
Organism: Ictalurus punctatus (channel catfish)
Lineage: Eukaryota; Metazoa; Chordata; Actinopteri; Siluriformes; Ictaluridae
Product: Small nucleolar RNA SNORA53
Source: Ensembl
CACACGCUCCUUAGAUCCACCUCUGGGGAGUCUUAAAGCUCGGAGUGUCACAGCUCCAGGGUUGGGGCUCCCAGCAGCUUUUCUGGCUGGACAGUUGGAGGUGCUUGAGUCAUUGGCGUGUGAGAGCAAUCUACCUGCUCCUUCAGCCUAGCCUCUGCCUUGGCUCCCAUAGUGGACAUCACCAGGGUAGACAAGCUGGAGGGCGGACAAG